UGAGUAACCUGCCCUUCACUCUGGGAUAACACCGGGAAACCGGUGCUAAUACUGGAUACGACCUACUCGGGCAUCCGAUGUGGGUGGAAAGAUUUAUCGGUGAGGGAUGGACUCGCGGCCUAUCAGCUUGUUGGUGAGGUAAUGGCUCACCAAGGCGACGACGGGUAGCUGGUCUGAGAGGAUGGCCAGCCACAUUGGGACUGAGACACGGCCCAGACCUCCGUACGGGA
This 230-nucleotide ribosomal RNA is filed under the name uncultured bacterium. RNAcentral's name for it is "partial 16S ribosomal RNA". It matches the Rfam family "Bacterial small subunit ribosomal RNA", at positions 118 to 346 of the family's 1533-position model. The record is from RNAcentral.